This is a small nuclear RNA of Mangifera indica (mango), 118 nucleotides long. RefSeq annotates it as U5 spliceosomal RNA. The record is from RefSeq and is a predicted model, not a curated record. Lineage: Eukaryota; Viridiplantae; Streptophyta; Magnoliopsida; Sapindales; Anacardiaceae. The transcript has a single exon.
AUCCGUACGGUGAGCACAAAGCGAACUAUUCUUUCGCCUUUUACUAAAGAAUACCGUGUGCUCGCCAUUUACAGCGGCGUACAACUAUUUUUGGAGGGGCUGUACUCUCUCGAGUGCG